AUCGGUGCGGGGCGACGGCGGAUGGACGAGCAGGGCCGCGCCUCGAGGUAUACGACGCGCCGACGCCGACAUCGCUGGCGCGGCGGAGAUCUCGCUGCCGAUCCAGGAUGUGCCACGCACUUCCACGAACUCCCAGUACGCGCUGGAUGUGAACGUGGAGAGGGUGGAGGACAUGGUGACGCACCAGCGGCUCCUCGAGGAGGCCCGAUACCUGCAGCACCGGCUUUCCUUGGAGGUGGGCGUCGUUCAGAUUGCAGAGAUACUAUCCAAGCUACAAAUAAAGGAUGGAGGCCAAGAGAGAUUGUGAUGUAGGAUGGUUGCAAAAUAAGAAGGUUUACAAUGUGUUGCAGCAACAGUAGGUGGAACUAUUUAGCGGCUGCCAUUAGUGAGAGGUCCUCUUCCAGCUCUAGACAAAUAUCUUUUGCAUGAUGCAAGGAUGGCCUCUACGCCUCACGACCUAUCACUUUCUUGGGGAAAAUGGAUUGAGCUUGAGAAAGGAAACUAAGAUCUCGUCUCAAGAAAGGGUUCUCUCUCAUAUUCUUAAUUAAUCUGGUGGUGGAUAAUGGCCUACUGCUAUUUUAGUUUUAUGCCUGUGGGAUAUGGCAAGAGAUGAUGGUCUCAUGGAGCAUUGAUUUUACUUGAUGAGGUAAUAAAUUUCAGGCUUUUGUAUCAUCCUCCCUGGCUCCUCCUGAAUAACCACCCGACCGAUUUGGUUGUUCAUUUCCAUGAUUGCACAACCUGUCUGCGAUCCACAUUGGCCUCUGUCAAAAAGUUUAAGCUCUUGAGCAAUGUAUGUGGUUCUGAAUAUACACUUGGUAGUCCACACAUAUUUAAAUCAUCUGGAAAUGAUGGGUUAUACUUCCUCAUUAAGCUUGCAUAAUGUUAGGAUAGGCAUCCACAAGAAAGGACCAUGAGCUCUAACUAAAAUCAACACUAAACUAGGUAGGUAUUCCGAGAACUGAUUUACAUGACUUAUUUUUCCCUUUGUUGGAGAUCUGCUCUUAUUAUUUUCUGUAUAUUCUAUUGAUAAUUCUGUCUACUAAAAAGGUGGGUACUCGUUAAGCAUGUCGUGGCGGAGUGUGUUCGUCCUAAAUUACGAAUAACGAUAUAAAAUGUGUGACCCUGUCAGUUAUCAUCAUGACACAUGCCCUGAUCCUUCAAGAUUUUCCAUUUCUCUUUCCAUGAGAAUGCAUUAUAGAAAUGGCACAUUGAUUGAUUCAUUUUCUAAUGCAGUACCACAUUUAUACACAAGGAGAAGUCCUUAAUUUGACACACAAGAAGGUUAAGAAGACCUGCAAAUUACGAUUGCAGUACAGUUUUAUAUCCCAGUUAGUUGACCAUGCUCUUUUCUGUUUUAUUUGCUGAUGUUUAGUCAAGAUAUCUAUGAUCUCCUAGAUUGCUGAUGUGAGUUUGCUAUUCAGAAAUUUAUAUUUUUUGAUACUAACAAAGAAUCCAGUUGAUGUGUCCAUAGUUUUGUUUCUCUUAGCUAGGAUCUAGAUAAUGUAAAAAUACAAAUCAUUUACUUUUGAUCUUCCAGGUUCAUAGACUUUUGUACUGAGCAUCUUGCUACAUUUUUUGUAUUCAAGGCUUCGGUUAUACCUGGUUUCUUUCUGCACUAACAUCACGUAGAAAUUUAUUUACUAGCACAUUCAGUGUACCUAUCUGGGUUGGUUAACCGUUGCACACGCGCAGUUUUUUCUUUUUCGCUUGACAGCUUUGUGAUUCGGUACCGAUGUUCUGCUUACUGUCCGUUUAUGUUUCACUUAUAGAGAAACGCACUGCUAGCAUUUCCAGAUGUGUACUGAUCUGUUUUGCUUAGCUUUUGUAAAUUGGGUUGCUUUGCCUCGUGAUAUUCUGUGAUGUGUUUAUCAUCAUUUACCUUUUUGUUGCCCAUUAGUGAAAAUGAUUGCUAGCAUCUUUAGAAGAUACAAUAUGUUCAGGUUAGAUUAGCUAUGUUAGGUUAAGAAAUCUCUCCAUUAUGCCGGCUUAUCUCCCUGCAACCUUAACACUUCAUAUCCUUUUUAUUUUUUCACUUUAGCCAGUGAUUCAUGGAUCCUAAACAUUCAGAUUCAGGUACGGUUUCUUCUUUCCAGUUGUUCUGUUUCACAUUGUAUAUUUGUAUCUUUCAUGUACAAUAGUUGGGCAGAUUUUUUUUUUGGAUCAAGGGUGGUGGUUUAGUAUGACAAAAAAAAAGAUGAUCUAUGGCAUUCUAGACUAGGAUACAUAGAUUUCCAGUUAGCAUUGCCACUCAACUGAGCUUAUAUUGACAACAUUAUGUGGCCCAUUCUUUCAUGGUAAACAUAAAAAGAAAAGAGCUAUGUUCACAUGUCAAAUAUGAAAGCUUGCACUGUUACUUCAUCAGAUGUUAUUUCAUCAGAUGGCCAGUGCAGCAACUCUGAAGUAUUCAUGAUUGGUUGGGUUGUUCAGUUUCUCAAAGGAUUUUAAAAUUAUCACAAAACCUUCAGAUUUUUCCUAUAAAAUCUAGCUAGCUAUCCAAUCAUUUUGAGGUACAACCUUAAAAGGAGACAUCAACGAUUGAUCAAGUUGUCCAUUGAUUAUUUGACAGUGAUCAUGCUCUCCCUUCUAUCACUCUUUUAUCAGUUGCAAGGUGCAAGUAAUCCAGUUUAACGGAGGCAUUACAUCCUUGGAUGCCGAGGGAGCAGAUGACCACCAGAGGAAGUAAAAAAGGAAAAAUGGGAGUGUAGCUGGCAAGUUACAUCCUUGCUUUUUUUUUUGUAUGUAUCGAUGAUGUACUGUAUCAAGUCUUAACGUGUCCGAUACCAAUUUUCUUAUUAUACAAUAUAUAUUGGUCACAACUUGUCAA
Lolium rigidum is the source of this 2824-nucleotide long non-coding RNA. RefSeq lists it as uncharacterized. The record is from RefSeq and is a predicted model, not a curated record. The transcript has 7 exons. NCBI's taxonomy places the organism in Eukaryota, Viridiplantae, Streptophyta, Magnoliopsida, Poales, Poaceae.